This 467-nucleotide ribosomal RNA is filed under the name uncultured bacterium. Its description in RNAcentral is "partial 16S ribosomal RNA". It matches the Rfam family "Bacterial small subunit ribosomal RNA", at positions 28 to 506 of the family's 1533-position model. The record is from RNAcentral.
GACGAACGCUGGCGGCGUGCUUAACACAUGCAAGUCGAACGGAAAGGCCCUGCUUUUGUGGGGUGCUCGAGUGGCGAACGGGUGAGUAACACGUGAGUAACCUGCCCUUGACUUUGGGAUAACUUCAGGAAACUGGGGCUAAUACCGGAUAGGAGCUCCUGCUGCAUGGUGGGGGUUGGAAAGUUUCGGCGGUUGGGGAUGGACUCGCGGCUUAUCAGCUUGUUGGUGGGGUAGUGGCUUACCAAGGCUUUGACGGGUAGCCGGCCUGAGAGGGUGACCGGCCACAUUGGGACUGAGAUACGGCCCAGACUCCUACGGGAGGCAACAGUGGGGAAUAUUGCACAAUGGGCGGAAGCCUGAUGCAGCAACGCCGCGUGCGGGAUGACGGCCUUCGGGUUGCAAACUGCUUUCGCCUGUGACGAAGCGUGAGUGACGGUAAUGGGUAAAGAAGCACCGGCUAACUACGU